RNAcentral lists this small RNA (811 nucleotides) under Pongo abelii (Sumatran orangutan). RNAcentral describes it as "processed transcript". Lineage: Eukaryota; Metazoa; Chordata; Mammalia; Primates; Hominidae. The record is from RNAcentral.
GUAGAAGAGGGGAGAGUGGCGGGCCGCUGAAUAAGCUUCCAAAAUGAUGAAAACGUGUAUUUCCUGUCAUCAUCUUCCAGGUGGGUGAUGGCACCACCUCAGUGACCUUGCUGGCUGCAGAGUUUCUGAAGCAGGUGAAACCCUAUGUGGAGGAAGGUUUACACCCCCAGAUCAUCAUUCGAGCUUUCCGCACAGCCACCCAGCUGGCAGUUAACAAGAUCAAAGAGAUUGCUGUGACCGUGAAGAAGGCAGAUAAAGUGGAGCAGAGGAAGCUGCUGGAAAAGUGUGCCAUGACCGCUCUGAGCUCCAAGCUGAUCUCCCAGCAGAAAGCUUUCUUUGCUAAGAUGGUGGUGGAUGCUGUGAUGAUGCUCGAUGAUUUGCUGCAGCUUAAAAUGAUUGGAAUCAAGAAGGUACAGGGUGGAGCCCUCGAGGAUUCUCAGCUGGUAGCUGGUGUUGCAUUCAAGAAGACUUUCUCUUAUGCUGGGUUUGAAAUGCAACCCAAAAAGUACCACAAUCCCAAGAUUGCCCUUUUGAAUGUCGAGCUCGAGUUGAAAGCUGAGAAAGACAAUGCUGAGAUAAGAGUCCACACAGUUGAGGAUUAUCAGGCAAUUGUUGAUGCUGAGUGGAACAUUCUCUAUGACAAGUUAGAGAAGAUCCAUCAUUCUGGAGCCAAAGUUGUCUUGUCCAAACUCCCCAUUGGGGAUGUGGCCACCCAGUACUUUGCUGACAGGGACAUGUUCUGUGCUGGCCGAGUACCUGAGGAGGAUCUGAAGAGGACAAUGAUGGCCUGUGGAGGCUCAAUCCAGACCAG